UCUUGGAGCUGCUUCUUUCUUUCUUUUUUUCUUUGCUCAAUGAUCUUUGUCCUCCAAGUUCAUUUCGCUCAAUCGUGCAAAUUAUUCGAUCGUCUCUUGUAUUAUAGGGGUGAAUGAAUUGAGGAAGGCUGUUGCUUUACGUUAAUGUCUCAUGUCUGUCUGUGUCUUCUUCGUGGAUUUGCGUUUUGAGGUUUUCUUAGACCAGUUUCAAGUUGUGUGUGUAUGUUUCCACCUGUUUGUUCUUUCGUUUGAUCUUUGUUCUACUAUUAUUGUUAUAGGUCUGAUCAUGGAAUUAUCUUCCUGAUUUUGCUUUUUAAGUUGUGUAGAUUUGGUUGGCUUUUGCAUAUCCAAUGGAGCGCUGGUUGUACUUCACAUCUGCGUAAAUUAGUUCUCUUAAUUUUUGGAGGAAGAAGACAUGCGCUUCGAUGUCGAUCACUACAAGAUUCUCGGGCUGCCAUCCGGUGAGAAUGGGGCGAACCUCUCCGAGAAGGAGAUUUCCAGAGCAUGCCAUGCAAAAGCCAAGAAGUUUCACCCCGAUAAGAGACCGGACAACCCAAAUGCUAAUGCAGACUUCCAGCGGUUGAGCAGGUCCUAUGAAUUUCUGAAGGACUAGAAGUCUCGGAAGCAUGACCUGUUGAGGAAGAUGGCAAAGCGCGAGCCACCGCCGAAGCAGCAGCAGCACUGGAUGCAUCAGGAUUCUAAGAGGAGGAAAAUGGUGUCUAACAGGGAGAGGGAACAGGCGCAUCGGGCGGCUUUUGCCCCUGACUCUUCUACUAUGGCGGCCCGACAGGAGGAGAGGUUUGUCCGAGACCUCGAGGAGGAGAUUGCUAGAAUGCAUGAGAUGUGCGCAAAUAAGAUGGCUGCGCCACCUGCUCCCAAGGGGACCAACUGCAAGCUCAGGGGAGGAGAGUAUGGUUGGCUCCUCUCCCGGGUUGGAUAAGGCAAAGGUUCUCCAAGUCACAUGGGAGAAGGUCGGUGUUGAUUAUAGCCGAGAGAGGCUGAAGGAGAUUUCCUCCAAGUUUGGUGUGGUUGAAGACGCCGUGAUUAGGAGUUCCAGGAAGCAAAGGUUGCUGCUAUGGAAAUCUCUCAAAUCCUUUGGCAGUCGUGCCUCUUCGGCCAAUUGUACCGACCGACUUGCCCAGCUUUCAGAAACCUGUGGAAGAUGAUCACCUCGACAAUCUUGUUGGAGCAGGUUAUCAAGCCUUCAAGGACUCGGUCUUGCAGAAACUCCAAAAGGCUGCUGAGAACAUUCGGGAGUUGGCAACAAGCUAGCUUCAAGAAUCGCUCCAACCUGAAUUGACUGCAACUCUGGCCGAUAAAAAAUAUUGCCAUCACGUCCAAAGCUUAUGGAAUUCAUGCGAAGACACAGUCUACGUUGUCGCUUCAUGUUAUUUGAGUUUGUGUUAGCUUACUCAAGGGGAAGGCAAAGCGUAUUCAUCACUGAUGCCCAUGGCAAUUAUAAUGUCAGGAAUUGCAGAAAUGUUUGUCGGGUUACUUGUUGAGACAGGUAUUGACAUCAGCUUUCUAUUUCCAGUUAUUGAAGAAAUAUCAUUGAGAACAUGAAAGAAGUAUGGUGAAUGAUUGUUCUUAAUAUGGUGCAAUAGCAUAGUUAUGACAGAGGAAUGAAACAGGGGUCAAUCAGGCCUUGCCAUAUUGUAGAAAAAUUCUAGAAGGCUAAAGCUCGAAGGCAAAGUGCCGAAGAAGACAGUGCCAAGGCUCUUCCGCUAGGUCUUCGCUCUAUGUUCUCCCCCCAAAUUCCCAAAACUCACGAGUUUGAGCUUACAGUACCAUCUUCUGAUCCGGUUGUAUACAUUAUUAUAUCCAAUUGCCUAAACUGCAGAGCCAGUAACAUCCGAUUGCCUAAACUGUAGAAGUAGCUCUUUUCCCUGCUCUAAAUGUUCUCUCUGUGAUUUUUUUUCUUUCACAGGGGAUGAUUUAGUGAAUGAAACUGAAAGUUAGCUCUUGCAAAUAGAAGUCGUAGGUUCGUACUCGAAUUUAACCUCGAGAGGAAAAGGAGGACGAAGAAGAGGCACUUAGGAAACUCUAAUAUAGCAGUAUUUGCAAGCCCCAGCUUCCUGAUACUUGAGAGAACAAUAGUUUUUGAUUGUUCGCGUUUUACUUUCACUGAAGUGAUUGCUUGAUGUGUGUAAGCAAAUUCUGUGUUCCAUCAGAAUGUAUGAGAAACAAGUAGAUAGGACCAGACGAUGACGGUUAUACUUUUCUGGAGCCGGACAUGGAAGAGAUGAAAGUAGUUUUUUCUUAUUCUGUAAGUUGCCUUACUAUACUUGUUUUGAAAGGUCC
This is a non-coding RNA of Punica granatum (pomegranate), 2301 nucleotides long. Lineage: Eukaryota; Viridiplantae; Streptophyta; Magnoliopsida; Myrtales; Lythraceae. The record is from RefSeq and is a predicted model, not a curated record.